CGGAGGAGGGGUCCCGAUGCCCCGGUGAGGAGCUGCGAGCGGCUGGAGAUUGUUGGUGGUCGGCGGGGUAGAGGGAGGCCUAGGAAGCAUUGGAGAGAGGUGAUUAGGCAGGACAUGACUAGUAUGCAGGUUACCGAGGACUUGACCCUUGAUAGGGGAGUCAGGAGGUCUAGAAUCAGGGUUGCAGGCUAGGGGCUCUUAGAGUCCUUCGUUCGCCCCACACGGGGUUGGGUGUGGGAUAGUAGGGUUACCCGUAGAUGACUAGUGUUUUAGCGUACGUCCCCUCUUGGUUGGUAAUAUGAUAGUUGUCGCUUGUUAUUGUCGCAUGCGACGGUAUUUAUNN
This 343-nucleotide long non-coding RNA is filed under the name Nicotiana benthamiana. Its description in RNAcentral is "long non-coding RNA (NBEN_LNC020397)". The record is from RNAcentral. Lineage: Eukaryota; Viridiplantae; Streptophyta; Magnoliopsida; Solanales; Solanaceae.